This is an unclassified non-coding RNA of Macaca mulatta (Rhesus monkey), 148 nucleotides long. It matches the Rfam family "Metazoan signal recognition particle RNA". From Rfam's summary of the family: The signal recognition particle (SRP) is a universally conserved ribonucleoprotein. NCBI's taxonomy places the organism in Eukaryota, Metazoa, Chordata, Mammalia, Primates, Cercopithecidae. The record is from Ensembl.
GCCGGGUGUGGUGGUGCAUGCCUGUAAUCCCAGCUACUGGGAGGCUGAGGCAGGAGAAUAGCUUGAGCCCAGGAGUUGAAGGUUGCAGUGAGCCAAGAUGGCACCAUUGCACUCCAGCCUGGGCAACAAGAGUGAAACUCUGUCUCAA